Molecule: unclassified non-coding RNA, 770 nt
Filed under: Hevea brasiliensis (rubber tree)
Lineage: Eukaryota; Viridiplantae; Streptophyta; Magnoliopsida; Malpighiales; Euphorbiaceae
Source: RNAcentral
AGCAAGAGACCAAAAAUAAUUUAACAAAUACAACGUGGCUUACAAAAUGAGUGGAUAAUCAAUCUCUUCCUAGGGGAUAAGAUAACAAUAUGCUACAGAACAGAAGCUACUUAAAACUCAAUUUCUAUCCAACCUCUACACCAAUUAACGGCAAAAAUUAGGGAAAGGAUAAAUGAACAAGUAUGCAGUAAGAGCUCUUAUGAAAAACAGCUCAAGACAAAACUCUCUACCUGCGGACAUCCAACCAUUUCAAAUCAAAAAAGAAUUACUAAAUUAGCUUCACUUAUUUGCCAAAAACAGCUUCUCAAGCUGUAGCAGAAAUCCGUGGUGUCAUAUUCUUGGCAGUUCCAUUUGCCAUACCACCACCACGAUUCAUUCGCCAGUUGUUGCCUCCCAUGUUGUCACUUCGCUGAAAGCCAUCACCACCUCCACGAUUGGAUGACCCUCCGCGAUUGCCACCUCUGUUGUUGAACUCGCUUCUUCCAUUGAAAUCACCACGAUUAUAGCCCCUCCCACUGCCUCCAUAGUUACCUCGCCCACGUACUCCAUCAUUUCUGACUCCAUUACCCCUUCCAGAUGGAUAUCUACCCCUAGUGUUACCUCGAGAACUGGUGGACUUCUUCUCUUCAACGGCAGCUUGGCGUCCACCAAUUAAAAUUGGAGAAGCCUCAAUUGCUUUUUGCACAGCAGUUUCCACCUCAAAUUCCACAAAGCCAAAACAAAAUCCCUGUUGUCUGUUACUUCGGACUUGAAUGCCUCCAUUCUUUAUA